UGCUUCUAUGACGUUAGCGGCGGACGGGUGAGUAACACGUGGGCAACCUGCCUGUAAGACUGGGAUAACUUCGGGAAACCGAAGCUAAUACCGGAUAGGAUCUUCUCCUUCAUGGGAGAUGAUUGAAAGAUGGUUUCGGCUAUCACUUACAGAUGGGCCCGCGGUGCAUUAGCUAGUUGGUGAGGUAACGGCUCACCAAGGCAACGAUGCAUAGCCGACCUGAGAGGGUGAUCGGCCACACUGGGACUGAGACACGGCCCAGACUCCUACGGGAGGCAGCAGUAGGGAAUCUUCCGCAAUGGACGAAAGUCUGACGGAGCAACGCCGCGUGAGUGAUGAAGGCUUUCGGGUCGUAAAACUCUGUUGUUAGGGAAGAACAAGUACGAGAGUAACUGCUUGUACCUUGACGGUACCUAACCAGAAAGCCACGGCUAACUACGUGCCAGCAGCCGCGGUAAUACGUAGGUGGCAAGCGUUAUCCGGAAUUAUUGGGCGUAAAGCGCGCGCAGGCGGUUUCUUAAGUCUGAUGUGAAAGCCCAC
Molecule: ribosomal RNA, 540 nt
Filed under: Priestia megaterium
Lineage: Bacteria; Bacillati; Bacillota; Bacilli; Caryophanales; Bacillaceae
Description: bacterial SSU rRNA
Rfam family: Bacterial small subunit ribosomal RNA
Source: RNAcentral